This 207-nucleotide unclassified non-coding RNA is filed under the name Hevea brasiliensis (rubber tree). The record is from RNAcentral. Lineage: Eukaryota; Viridiplantae; Streptophyta; Magnoliopsida; Malpighiales; Euphorbiaceae.
CGAACGCCAGUGUGCUCCUUUUUCUCACGCUCAGCUUCUUCCUCGACCUGUCUUGUGAGCUCUUCGAUCCGCUCGCGGAACCCUGCAGCCUCGUGGGCCGCCAUUGCGGUGGUUACAAGCUUCUCCUUCGAUUUCAGUUUAGUUUUCGACUCAUCUAGCGCAGUAUUUGUACUCGCCAACUCCUUCUUGAGCAUAGCUACCUUCCAG